Molecule: long non-coding RNA, 1938 nt
Filed under: Equus asinus (donkey)
Lineage: Eukaryota; Metazoa; Chordata; Mammalia; Perissodactyla; Equidae
Description: lncRNA (ENSEASG00005026023.1)
Source: RNAcentral
UUCAUUUCUUAACUCCUAUUUUCUACCUAUACUUACUCCACGGCGUUCUCAUCCUGUCCCGUGGAUUUAAAUACCGUCUACAUGUUGAUGAUUCCUGGCUCUAGUCCAGACCUCUCUCUUUAGUUUGUAUAUCUAAAUGCCUACUUGAUAUCCCCAUUGGAAUGUCUAACAGACAUCUCAGCUGAACCAUGUCCAAAACUGAGCUUCUAAUCUUUCCUGCAAACCUGCUUUCCUACAGUCCAUCUUCCCCAUCUCAGUUAAUGGCAACUCUAUUUUUGCAGUUGUUUAGGUAAAAAAAAAAACUUGGUGUUAUCUCUCACACUCCACAAGGAAUGUGUCAGGAAGCCCCAUCAGCUCUACUUUCAGGAGGUCUCCAGAAUCCAACCACUUCUCACCAAGCUGUUCCCCGUCACUACCACCUCUUGCCUGGAUUACUACAGUGACGUGUAACCAGUGUCCAUGCUUCAUGCCCUCAUUUGCUUCUAGUGUAAGUUGGAUUAUGUCACUCUGCUCAGAACCCGCCUCCAUCUCACACCCUAUAAAAGCCACAAUCCUUACAGUGAAGCAUAAGGCUCUGCAUGGGGCCCUGUUUCCUCUCUAAACCUUAUCUUGUUCUAUCUCCCUCCUGCUCUCCUGGGUCCUGCUCUACGUUCCUCGAACAUGCCCAGCCUAGUAUCACCUCAAAGCCUUUGAACUUCUUGUUUCCUCUCCCUAGAAUGCUCUUCCUCCUGACAUCCCUCCCCAAGGCUUGAUUUGCUCAUUUCAUUUAGGUCCUCACUGCUCGGAGAGGUCUACCUUGACUCCUCCAUCUAAAACAUCAACUACUGACUUUUCUUUUUUGUUUUUUUUGAGGAAGAUUAGCCCUGAGCUAACAUCUGCUGCCAAUCCUCCUCUUUUUGCUGAGGAAGACUUGUCCUGAGCUAACAUCUGUGCCCAUCUUCCUCUACUUUCUGUGUGGGACGCCUGCCACAGCAUGGCUUGCCGAGAAGUCUGUAGGUCCGCACCUGGAAUCCUAACUGGCGAACCCCGGGCCGCCAAAGCAGAACAUGCGAUCUUAACCACUGUGCCACGGGGCUGGCCCCAACUCCUCACUUUUCUUAUCCUCUGAUCCUGCUUUAUUUUCUUUUCCUUAGCACUAAUCACUAACAUGUUAUUUAUUUUAUUUAUUUACAUAUUGUAACAGCUAAAAUUUUAUGCGUUAGUUUGACUAGGUGCCCAGAUACUUGGUUAAACAUUCUGGGUGUGUCUAUGAGAGUAUUUCUGGAUGAGAUUAACAUUUGAAUCAGCAGGCUGAGUAAAGCAGAUUGCCCUCACCAAUGUGGAUGGGCCUCAUCCAAUCCAUAGAGGCCUGAAUAGAAUUAAAGGCAGAGUAAGAAAGAGUUCACUGUGACAUUGACCUUCUCCUGCCUUCGGACUUGGACUGGGACCGGAACUUAUACCAUAGGCUCUCCUGGUUAUCAGGCCUUUAGAUUCGGACUGGAAUUAGACCGUCCGCUCUCCUGCAUCUUCAGCCUGCCAACCGCAGAUCUUGGGACUUCUUAGUCUCCAUAACCAUGUGAGAGGAGACUGCCAGGAAGACUGAAAGAGGAGGUUCUUCCCGACGGGGGAACAGCAUGUGAAAAGGCAUGGAAGCAAGGAAGGCCCUGGAUGAGUGGGGAAAGGCCAGCUGUUUCAUUUUGUUGGAAGAAAAGUGGAUAUGAAAUUGGAAGGAGUGGAGGGAAGUCCUUGCUGCUGAUAGCUGCUGUGUGAGGAAGGGCUCAUCUCUGUCCCACCACUUUCCUGAGGGCGGUUCCUCAGGGAGCAGGGGGCCUGCUAGGCCUGCUCCUGUGACUUCUAAGAAUCAGAGGUGCAGGGCCUUCUGCCAGCUUGUCCCCAGCCAUGCACAAAGGGCUGGGCCGAGAACCCUAGGCUUCUGACAUCAAGGCUUGCACCCCACAG